RNAcentral lists this microRNA precursor (90 nucleotides) under Canis lupus familiaris (dog). RNAcentral describes it as "mir-8799 microRNA precursor family". It matches the Rfam family "mir-8799 microRNA precursor family". The record is from Rfam by way of RNAcentral. Lineage: Eukaryota; Metazoa; Chordata; Mammalia; Carnivora; Canidae. RNAcentral also lists the same sequence under 1 other name.
GGGGGGAGGUCGGAUCCUGGGCUGUGUCCCAGGCUCCCAGUGCUCCCGGACCUGCGCUGUUGGAUUCGCGCUCCCGCGGUGCAGCCUCCU